GCUAGGACGUCAGGGCUAAGCAGAGGACUGGGACUAUAUUAGGACGACAUCCUAGUCCCAGUCCUCUGCAUAGCCCUGACGUCCUAGC
Molecule: microRNA precursor, 88 nt
Filed under: Paramuricea clavata
Lineage: Eukaryota; Metazoa; Cnidaria; Anthozoa; Malacalcyonacea; Plexauridae
Source: RNAcentral